RNAcentral lists this transfer RNA (84 nucleotides) under Candidatus Kuenenbacteria bacterium CG1_02_38_13. RNAcentral describes it as "tRNA-Leu". It matches the Rfam family "tRNA". From Rfam's summary of the family: Transfer RNA (tRNA) molecules are approximately 80 nucleotides in length. Their secondary structure includes four short double-helical elements and three loops (D, anti-codon, and T loops). Further hydrogen bonds mediate the characteristic L-shaped molecular structure. tRNAs have two regions of fundamental functional importance: the anti-codon, which is responsible for specific mRNA codon recognition, and the 3' end, to which the tRNAs corresponding amino acid is attached (by aminoacyl-tRNA synthetases). tRNAs cope with the degeneracy of the genetic code in two manners: having more than one tRNA (with a specific anti-codon) for a particular amino acid; and 'wobble' base-pairing, i.e. permitting non-standard base-pairing at the 3rd anti-codon position. RNAcentral also lists the same sequence under 2 other names. Lineage: Bacteria; Candidatus Kueneniibacteriota. The record is from RNAcentral.
GCCGAUGUGGCGGAACUGGUAGACGCACAGGACUCAAAAUCCUGCGGUGGCAACACCAUGAGAGUUCGACUCUCUCCGUCGGCA